Molecule: long non-coding RNA, 396 nt
Filed under: Lathyrus oleraceus (garden pea)
Lineage: Eukaryota; Viridiplantae; Streptophyta; Magnoliopsida; Fabales; Fabaceae
Description: Pisum sativum (pea) long non-coding RNA (PSAT_LNC016702)
Source: RNAcentral
UGAAAAUGGUGUCCUCACUUGUUUUGCUGCAACAUGCUUGAAUUGGCCUUGCAUUGCCCUGCUGGAUCCCUUUGUUCAGUUCAUCAGGUGGUAAGUAUAUAAGCCUGUUUCUUUUUCUUGUGUUAGGCUCAUUGCAACAUGAUAUCUAGUCCUACAAACCCAAUGUGUUGGUGGCUUUCAAUUGACUUGUUGCAGGCCUUGAGCAUUUGUUAGCUUAAUCAAAUGGAUCUUUACACAACAACCUCAUAGACUUAUGGUGCACUGGUUUUGCAGGCUGCUGUCAUCACUUAGUGGCAUAAUCAUGGCCUUGUAGGAAUUUGUUGACAGGAUAUUGUAGUAGCAGGUAUGAGGAUUAUGGUAAUUGUGUCUUUGUAACAUGUUUUCUACUGCAGUUUU